GCCUAACAGCUAGCCCACCCAAGAAAUUUCAACUAACCCCUAUUAAUAACCCCUAAGUACCCCAGUAUUUAAAUUAACAAACCAUUUUCCCCCCUUAGUACAGGCGAUAGAAAGGGGCCUACGGCGCGAUAGAGAAAGUACCGCAAGGGAAUGCUGAAAAAGAAAUGAAAUAAUCCAGUAAAGCCCAGAAAAGCAGAGAUUCAACCUCGUACCUUUUGCAUCAUGAUUUAGCAAGUGUACCCCAAGCAAAGAGAACUUUAGUUUGGCGUCCCGAAACUACGUGAGCUACUCCAAGACAGCCUAUUAAUAGGGCACACCCGUCUCUGUGGCAAAAGAGUGGGGAGAGCUUUGAGUAGAGGUGAUAAACCUACCGAACCUAGUUAUAGCUGGUUGUCCAAGAAAUGAAUAGAAGUUCAGCCUCUUGGCUUCUCUUUUCACCCUAGUUUAACCCCUAUCGAUGCAUUAAGGAACCAAGAGAGUUAGUCAAAGGGGGUACAGCCCCUUUGAAUCAAGACACAACUUUACCAGGAGAGU
This 534-nucleotide ribosomal RNA is filed under the name Hemilepidotus hemilepidotus (red Irish lord). Its description in RNAcentral is "partial 16S ribosomal RNA". It matches the Rfam family "Bacterial large subunit ribosomal RNA", at positions 157 to 1040 of the family's 2925-position model. The record is from RNAcentral. Lineage: Eukaryota; Metazoa; Chordata; Actinopteri; Perciformes; Cottidae.